CUGCAGAAUGAUUUCCAUCAGAUUGCACGAUGUGGAUGGUCUGCUGAGAACGCUCACUUCAGACCAGAUGUUCAUCCGUCUUUAUUUUUUACAUCCACAAGAAGAGGAAAACAUUGGUAAGGAAAGGCAAGGGAGGGUGAAACAAGAGGGCUUGCUCCUUGGCCUCCUUCAGUAAAAUGUCCCAGAUCUAAAGGCUGCUGCUUCAUCUCCUGUGAUACACCAUGCUGAACACUGUGACACUGUGCCUCACUCCUGGUGGAGGAUGUGGGAUCUUCCAUCAAGGGCUCCCCUUGGAAUUUUCCUUUUACCCCUGCUCUUGGCAUGGCUGGAUCCCUCACAACUUCAGGGUCCCAGCUUAAAUACUCUUUCCUCGGGGAGGCCUUCCCCACCUACUCUAUUUAAAGAAGGGCCCAUCUUUCCUGUUGCUCCCCAGCUCAGCACCUUGCUUGCAUCUUUCAUAAUAUUGGCCACAAUUUCUCAUUGGUCAACCCGUCUGUUUGAUUUUUUUUUUUCUGUCUGUCUCUCUCACUAGACAAAGUACAAAGGGGCAGGGAUCGUGUCUGUCUUAUUUAUCGUGGUAUCCCCUCAGCUCUGAGCCAGCUACCACAGUACCUUGUAAAUGCCUAGUCAAUAUCAGUGGAAUAAAUGAUUAGGUGUUAACCUCAAUUGUCCAGCACUGGGGUUCAAUUCAUGUCCAAUAUUUCAGACUUAGCAUAGUGAAACUUCCAACAAGCCUGUUUUUAGUUCCUGUUGGUUGAGGUGAGAGUCAGGUAACUGUUUACAAAAUGGCUGUAAUGCACAUCAGACUCCAAAUGAACAAGUGGUGAGAAUUGGAGCCUGAUGUCCCAGCUGAAGCCCUGUUUCAUUUGGCAGGAGAACCAACACAUCCAGAGAAAUGAGGCAAUGAUGUUGAGUGGAUAGCAUAGGCCUGCUGCACCAUUCAUCAUGUGAAACCUAUUGAAAAGCAAACCACUUUGUAGGGGCCCACCAAAUAGUCAGAGGUUUCUGAUCCUUGGCACUUAAAGGCCUCCUAUUGUCUG
This 1040-nucleotide long non-coding RNA is filed under the name Homo sapiens (human). Its description in RNAcentral is "HSALNT0079466". The record is from RNAcentral. Lineage: Eukaryota; Metazoa; Chordata; Mammalia; Primates; Hominidae.